Long non-coding RNA from Dama dama (fallow deer), 1587 nucleotides. RefSeq lists it as uncharacterized. The transcript has 3 exons. NCBI's taxonomy places the organism in Eukaryota, Metazoa, Chordata, Mammalia, Artiodactyla, Cervidae. The record is from RefSeq and is a predicted model, not a curated record.
CCCACUCGAGUAUUCUUGCCUGGAGAAAUCCAUGGACAGAGGAGCCUGGCAGGCUACAGCCCAUGGGGUCGCAGAGUUGAACACGACUGAGCGACUAACAUUUCAUUUUUCAUCCUCUUUAUCCACUUAUCUGCUGAUGGACACUUAGGUUGCUUCUAUAUUCUGCCUGAGGUCUUGGUAUUGUCUUCUUAUCACUCAGAACUCAAAGCCUGAGGGAGCUCCCCUGACCACCCAGGUUGCCCGGGCACCCUCUCCACCCACCUCCAUCUCGUCUCCUUCACAGGCUUCCCCAGUCCCUGACAGCAUCUCGCUUACAUGUCUGCUUACACAUUACCACGUGGCCCCAUGAUAACGUGAGCUCCUUGAGGACCAGGUUCCACUCGAAGCUUCUGAGACCUGGGGCUACAUGUGUAGGAAGAUGUUGCUCAUCCUAGCUGUUCAGGAAGUAUUACUCACCUGACAGAUUCAGACUCGUAGGUGCCCGAAGGCGACAGCCAGCCCCUCAAGAUAAGAAGAAUUAGCAAACAUUCAAGGGUUGGUGGCAGGAAGCCCCUUGCCCUUGGUGGGGCUGGCUCAGGACACCAGAGGACGGGGACACAGAGGUUGGCAGAGCACCAGGAGCUGCCAGGGUCUCUAAGCUCUGCCAAGAUGAUUUCCUUCAGGGCCAGGGGUGAGAAGGUGACCACUUGGAGCGAGAAGAAAUGCAUCCGUUAAACCCAGUCUCCUGCAGCCGAAGGCAGAGGUGAAGUGGGAAGAGGCCACAGAAAGUUUUCACCAAGCUGGCCCCUAGGCCAGGGCCUGCUGACACUUUACUGGCGGACACUUUUCUGAAAGCCACCCCCCUUGCAUCCUGCAUCCCUGGAGACCCCGUGCACGGCUGUGGGAUGGGAGGAGACCCCUGGAGGGUUCUGAGCCCAGAAGAGACACAUCUAACUUAAGCCCUUAACAGAUGACUCUGGCUACUGUGUUAAUAGAUGAGGAACUUCCAGUGGUUAAGAAUUAACUUGCCAAUGCAGGGGACGCCGGUUCGAUCCCUGGUCCUGGAAGACUGCACAUUCCACAGGGCAACAAAGCCUGAGAGCUGCCGCUACUGCACCCAGGUGCCCUGGAGCCUGUGCUCCGCAACAAGAGAAGCCCCUGCAAUGAGAAGCCUGCACACCACAACUAGAGAGUGGACCCCGCUCGCUGCAACUAGAGAAAACCUGUGCGUAGUAACAAACAUACAGUCAGCCAAGAAUAAAUAAAGAAAUAAAAAAUUAAAAUUUUAAAAAUAGAUGGGGAGGCAACAGUGAAUAGCCAAGAGCAGUUAUGAACGUUUUCCAACAAUUCAGGGCAGAGAUGGUGGUGGCUUGAGCUGGACGUUCACUGGAUGUACAUGGAUUGCCCUUCAUAAUGAAAAGCAAGGUCAGCUCAUGUUCCCUGUGGACACUGUAGUGGAACUAAAACGGCAGAUAUCUUCCAGACACUAAAGUGGGGCGGGUGCUUUUCAUGCUAGCUCACCCAAUAAAAGGAAUAACACUUAUGAAAUGUCUACGAUGUGCCUGCCAGGCACUGCCAGCCUGAGUGGAACAAGUGUGAGAACCAGAG